RNAcentral lists this ribosomal RNA (461 nucleotides) under uncultured bacterium. Its description in RNAcentral is "partial 16S ribosomal RNA". It matches the Rfam family "Bacterial small subunit ribosomal RNA", at positions 28 to 523 of the family's 1533-position model. The record is from RNAcentral.
GACGAACGCUGGCGGCAUGCCUAACACAUGCAAGUCGAACGAGGUAUUUGUUUUCGGAUAGAUAUCUAGUGGCGCACGGGUGCGUAACGCGUGGGAAUCUGCCCUUUGGUUCGGAAUAACACAGAGAAAUUUGUGCUAAUACCGGAUGAUGACGAAAGUCCAAAGAUUUAUCGACGAAGGAUGAGCCCGCGUAGGAUUAGCUAGUUGGUGGGGUAAAGGCCUACCAAGGCGACGAUCCUUAGCUGGUCUGAGAGGAUGAUCAGCCACACUGGGACAGAGACACGGCCCAGACUCCUACGGGAGGAGGCAGUGGGGAAUAUUGGACGAUGGGCGCAAGCCGGAUCCAGGAAUGCCGCGUGAGUGAAGAAGGCCUUCGGGUUGUAAAGCUCUUUUACCCGGGAAGAUAAUGACUGUACCGGGAGAAUGAGCCCCGGCUAACUCCGUGCCAGCCGCCGCGGUAA